RNAcentral lists this transfer RNA (73 nucleotides) under Strongyloides venezuelensis. It matches the Rfam family "tRNA". From Rfam's summary of the family: Transfer RNA (tRNA) molecules are approximately 80 nucleotides in length. Their secondary structure includes four short double-helical elements and three loops (D, anti-codon, and T loops). Further hydrogen bonds mediate the characteristic L-shaped molecular structure. tRNAs have two regions of fundamental functional importance: the anti-codon, which is responsible for specific mRNA codon recognition, and the 3' end, to which the tRNAs corresponding amino acid is attached (by aminoacyl-tRNA synthetases). tRNAs cope with the degeneracy of the genetic code in two manners: having more than one tRNA (with a specific anti-codon) for a particular amino acid; and 'wobble' base-pairing, i.e. permitting non-standard base-pairing at the 3rd anti-codon position. The record is from Rfam by way of RNAcentral. Lineage: Eukaryota; Metazoa; Nematoda; Chromadorea; Rhabditida; Strongyloididae.
GCCGCAUUGGUUCAAUAGUAGUAGCGUUGGUCUUGUAAACCGAAGGUUGCUGUUUAAAUCCCAGCAUGCGGGA